RNAcentral lists this ribosomal RNA (465 nucleotides) under uncultured bacterium. RNAcentral's name for it is "bacterial SSU rRNA". It matches the Rfam family "Bacterial small subunit ribosomal RNA", at positions 917 to 1382 of the family's 1533-position model. The record is from RNAcentral.
GGGCCCGCACAAGCGGAGGAACAUGUGGUUUAAUUCGAUGAUACGCGAGGAACCUUACCUGGGCUAGAACGCCGGACGCAUGGGGGGGAAACCCUUCAGCCCGCAAGGGCGGCCGGCGAGGUGCUGCAUGGUUGUCGUCAGCUCGUGCCGUGAGGUGUCGGGUUAAGUCCCAUAACGAGCGCAACCCCUACCGUUAGUUGCCAGCGGGUCAUGCCGGGAACUCUAGCGGAACUGCCAGCGUAAGCUGCGAGGAAGGCGGGGAUGACGUCAAAUCAGCACGGCCCUUACGUCCAGGGCUACACACGUGUUACAAUGGCCGGUACAGAGGGCAGCCACCCCGCGAGGGGGCGCGAAUCCCGAAAGCCGGUCGCAGUUCGGAUCGGAGUCUGGAACCCGACUCCGUGAAGCUGGAUUCGCUAGUAAUCGCGCAUCAGCCAUGGCGCGGUGAAUACGUUCCCGGGCCUU